Merluccius polli (Benguela hake) is the source of this 72-nucleotide non-coding RNA. The record is from the annotation of a GenBank genome assembly. NCBI's taxonomy places the organism in Eukaryota, Metazoa, Chordata, Actinopteri, Gadiformes, Merlucciidae.
GCAGGAAUGGGCGGGAUAGUGUUCGACUCCCAGCCGAAAGGUACUGGGUUCGAUCCCCCGUGUCGACCUGCA